GCGCGGAUGGCGGAAUUUGGUAUACGCGCAAGACUAAGGAUCUUGUGCCGCAAGGCUUGGAGGUUCAAGUCCUCUUCCGCGCA
This 83-nucleotide transfer RNA is filed under the name Candidatus Margulisiibacteriota bacterium. Its description in RNAcentral is "tRNA-Leu". It matches the Rfam family "tRNA". Rfam says of the family: Transfer RNA (tRNA) molecules are approximately 80 nucleotides in length. Lineage: Bacteria; Bacillati; Candidatus Margulisiibacteriota. The record is from RNAcentral.